Oncorhynchus tshawytscha (Chinook salmon) is the source of this 4274-nucleotide long non-coding RNA. Lineage: Eukaryota; Metazoa; Chordata; Actinopteri; Salmoniformes; Salmonidae. The record is from Ensembl.
CCCCUGUAUAUAGCCUCCACAUUGACUCUGUACCGGUACCCCCUGUAUAUAGCCUCCACAUUGACUCUGUACCAGUACCACCUGUAUAUAGCCUCCACAUUGACUCUGUACCGGUACCCCCUGUAUAUAGUCUCCACAUUGACUCUGUACCGGUACCCCCUGUAUAUAGCCUCCACAUUGACUCUGUACCAGUACCAUAACCCCUGUAUAUAGCCUCCACAUUGACUCUGUACCGGUACCCCCUGUAUAUAGUCUCCACAUUGACUCUGUACCAGUACCCCCCUGUAUAUAGCCUCCACAUUGACUCUGUACCGGUACCCCCUGUAUAUAGUCUCCACAUUGACUCUGUACCAAUACCCCCUGUAUAUAGCCUCCACAUUGACUCUGUACCGGUACCCCCUGUAUAUAGCCUCCACAUUGACUCUGUACCGGUACCCCCUGUAUAUAGUCUCCACAUUGACUCUGUACCGGUGCCCCCUGUAUAUAGCCUCACUACUGUUAUUUACUGCUGCUCUUUAAUUAGUUGUUAUUCUUAUCGCUUACUUUUUUUGUGUGUAUUUUCUGAAAACUGCAUUGUUGGUUAAAGGUUUGUAAGUAAAGCAUUUCACUGUAAGGUCUACACAUUUUGAUUUGAUUUGCAAAACCUAAAGACUUGUAUCCAUCAAUCCACUAUCAGAUGCUGUGAGCCCUCAACAACAGGUUUACUUUGGAGCUGUUGGAUGUUGUCGUGUAAACAUCCCCAUAAUAGUAGUACUAAUAGAGUACUGUAGUAUAUACUACUGUGGGAUAUGAACAUAUCAUAUAUAACACUAUAAUGUGGGAUAUGAACAUAUCAUAUAUAACAGUAUAAUGUGGGAUAUGAACAUAUCAUAUAUAACACUAUAAUGUGGGAUAUGAACACAUCAUAUAUAUCAGUAUAAUUUGGGAUAUGAACAUAUCAUAUAUAUAUAUAUAUAUAUAUAUAUAUAACAGUAUAAUGUGGGAUAUGAACAUAUCAUAUAUAUAUAUAUAUAUAUAUAACAGUAUAAUGUGGGAUAUGAACAUAUCAUAUAUAACGGUAUAAUGUGGGAUAUGAACAUAUCGUAUAUAACAGUAUAAUGUGGGAUAUGAACAUAUCAUAUAUAACAAUAUAAUGUGGGAUAUGAACAUAUCAUAUAUAACAGAAUAAUGUGGGAUAUGAACAUACCAUAUUUUUGUACGGGUUAACAACCGUUAAUGGAAGUUGUCAGUAAUCCAUCUUAGGACAACCAGUUUUCCACGUCCCUGCUGCUAACCCUCUUGGUGCAGAUAGCAACGUAGUAAAGCUCCAUAGUUUGCUGUGCACCAUUAAAUAGACCUUCAAUGUCUUGAUGAGUGAUCCGUUCCUGCUGUUGGAGCAGUCUCCCUGCUGUAGGAGUAGUCUCUCUGCCGUAGGAGUAGUCUCUCUGCCGUAGGAGUAGUCUCCCUGCCGUAGGAGUAGUCUCCAUGCCGUAGGAGUAGUCUCUCUGCCGUAGGAGUAGUCUCUCUGCCGUAGGAGAAGUCUCCCUGCCGUAGGAGUAGUCUCCCUGCCGUAGGAGUAGUCUCCCUGCCGUAGGAGUAGUCUCCCUGCCGUAGGAGUAGUCUCCCUGCCGUAGGAGUAGUCUCCCUGCCGUAGGAGUAGUCUCCCUGCCGUAGGAGUAGUCUCCCUGCCGUAGGAGUAGUCUCUCUGCCGUAGGAGUAGUCUGUAGGAGUAGUCUGUGGGAGUCGUCUCUCUGCCGUAGGAGCAGUCUGUAGGAGUAGUCUGUAGGAGUAGUCUCUCUGCCGUAGGAGCUCUCUGUAGGAGUAGUCUGUAGGAGAAGUCUGUAGGAGUAGUCUCUCUGCCGUAGGAGUAGUCUCUCUGCCGUAGGAGCAGUCUGUAGGAGUAGUCUGUAGGAGUAGUCUCUCUGCCGUAGGAGCAGUCUGUAGGAGUAGUCUGUAGGAGUAGUCUCUCUGCCGUAGGAGCAGUCUGUAGGAGUAGUCUCCCUGCUGUAGGAGUAGUCUGUAGGAGUAGUCUCCCUGCUGUAGGAGUAGUCUGUAGGAGUAGUCUGUAGGAGAAGUCUCUCUGCCGUAGGAGUAGUCUGUAGGAGUAGUCUCCCUGCUGUAGGAGCAGUCUCUCUGCCGUAGGAGUAGUCUCUCUACUGUAGGAGUAGUCUCUCUGCCGUAGGAGCAGUCUCUCUGCCGUAGGAGCAGUCUCUCUGCCGUAGGAGUAGUCUGUAGGAGUAGUCUCCCUGCUGUAGGAGCAGUCUCUGCCGUAGGAGUAGUCUCCCUGCUGUAGGAGUAGUCUCUCUGCUGUAGGAGUAGUCUCCGUGCUGUAGGAGUAUUCUGUUGGAGUAGUCUCCGUGCUGUAGGAAUAGUCUGUUGGAGUAGUCUUCGUGCCGUAGGAGUAGUCUGUAGGAGUAGUCUCUGUGCUGUAGGAGUAGUCACCGUGCUGUAGGAGUAGUCUGUAGGAGUAGUCUCCCUGCUGUAGGAGUAGUCUGUAGGAGUAGUCUGUAGAAGAAGUCUCUCUGCCGUAGGAGUAGUCUGUAGGAGCAGUCUCUCUGCCGUAGGAGUAGUCUCUCUACUGUAGGAGUAGUCUCUCUGCCGUAGGAGCAGUCUCUCUGCCGUAGGAGCAGUCUCCCUGCCGUAGGAGCAGUCUCCCUGCCGUAGGAGCAGUCUCCCUGCCGUAGGAGCAGUCUCUCUGCCGUAGGAGCAGUCUCUCUGCCGUAGGAGCAGUCUCUCUGCCGUAGGAGCAGUCUCUCUGCCGUAGGAGCAGUCUCUCUGCCGUAGGAGCAGUCUCUCUGCCGUAGGAGUAGUCUGUAGGAGUAGUCUCCCUGCUGUAGGAGUAGUCUCCCUGCCGUAGGAGCAGUCUCCCUGCUGUAGGAGCAGUCUCCCUGCUGUAGGAGCAGUCUCCCUGCUGUAGGAGCAGUCUCUCUACUGUAGGAGUAGUCUCUCUGCUGUAGGAGUGGUCUCCAUUCUGUAGGAGUACUCUCCGUGCUGUAGGAGUAGUCUCCGUGCUGUAGGAGUAGUCUGUUGGAGUAGUCUCCGUGCUGUAGGAGUAGUCUGUUGGAGUAGUCUUCAUGCCGUAGGAGUAGUCUGUAGGAGUAGUCUCCGUGCUGUAGGAGUAGUCUCCAUUCUGUAGGAGUAGUCUCCGUGCCGUAGGAGUAGUCUGUAGGAGUAGUCUCCGUGCUGUAGGAGUAGUCUCCAUUCUGUAGGAGUAGUCUCCGUGCCGUAGGAGUAGUCUGUAGGAGUAGUCUCCGUGCUGUAGGAGUAGUCUCCAUACUGUAGGAGUAGUCUCCGUGCCGUAGGAGUAGUCUCCCUGCUGUAGGAGUAGUCUCCAUUCUGUAGGAGUAGUCUCCGUGCCGUAGGAGUAGUCUGUAGGAGUAGUCUCCAUUCUGUAGGAGUAGUCUGUAGGAGUGGUCUCCGUGCCGUAGGAGUAGUCUCCCUGCUGUAGGAGUAGUCUGUAGGAGUAGUCUCCAUUCUGUAGGAGUAGUCUCCCUACUGUAGGAGUAGUCUCCAUUCUUUAGGAGUAGUCUCCGUGCCAUAGGAGUAGUCUGUAGGAGUAGUCUCCAUUCUGUAGGAGUAGUCUCCCUACUGUAGGAGUAGUCUCCAUUCUUUAGGAGUAGUCUCCGUGCCAUAGGAGUAGUCUGUAGGAGUAGUCUCCAUUCUGUAGGAGUAGUCUGUAGGAGUAGUCUCCGUGCCGUAGGAGUAGUCUCCCUGCUGUAGGAGUAGUCUGUAGGAGUAGUCUCCAUUCUGUAGGAGUAGUCUCCCUACUGUAGGAGUAGUCUGUAGGAGUAGUCUCCAUUCUGUAGGAGUAGUCUCCCUACUGUAGGAGUAGUCUGUAGGAGUAGUCUCCGUGCCGUCGGAGUAGUCUCUCUGCUGUAGGAGUAGUCUCCGUGACGUAGGAUUAGUCUCCCUGCUGUAGGAGUAGUCUGUAGGAGUAGUCUCCGUGACGUAGGAUUAGUCUCCCUGCUGUAGGAGUAGUCUGUAGGAGUAGUCUCCGUGCUGUAGUCUCUCCGCUGUAGGAGUAGUCCCUCCGCUGUAGGAGUAGUCUAUAGGGGUAGUCUCCCUGCUGUAGGAGUAGUCUCCAUGCUGUAGGAGUAGUCUGUAAGAGUAGUCUCUGUGCUGUAGGAAUAGUCUAUAGGAGUAGUCUUCAUGCCGUAGGAGUAGUCUGUAGGAGUAGUCUCCGUGCUGUAGGAGUAGUCUCCAUUCUGUAGGAGUAGUCUCCGUGCCGUAGGAGUAGUCUGUAGGAGUAGUCUCCGUGCUGUAGGAGUAGUCUCCAUUCUGUAGGAGUAGUCUCC